UCGUUUUUGCGUGAGGUCGAUUCCCGUUUUGUUGCUUUCCUGAAAUUAGUUUCUACUUUGUAAGCAGAAAAAAAGCGUAAAAAAGGAGGAACAAAGAGGGGAGCAGAAAGAUCGACGAGACAACGAUGGGGUAUGUAUUGAGGGUGAGAUUGGCUUCAUUCUUCACGGGGGCAGCAACAGCGUCCUUUCUGGGUCUCUACAUCUUGUACAAGGAUUACAAGGUCGCCCAUGAAUCCAUUGCCCAACGGGUACUCCCCUAUUCCUUUUUCGCAUUGUUUUGUUUCGUAGCUCAUAGGGCAGCUUUCAAUUUCUUUAUGAAAUUUUUGGAUUAUUCUGGGUUUUAUAUUUUUUGCUCAUUUGCGAGUUUGUAUAGUGAAAUCCAUGAGUAGAGGAAUGGUUGGAAACUGAUUUUAGAUAUUUUAUUUUACUUUUUUUACUCUAUGCGAUCAGUGCUGCUGCUGAUUAAUGUUUGCUUACUAUGCAUUUCAAAUAUGGAUUAGGCAUUGCAAUGCAUAUGUAGCUGCUUGGAUGAUUGAUAAUUAUAUAGAUUGUCGAUGGUUAUUAUGGAAAUGAAAGAAUAUGGUGAAUUUUCCUUUGUUCUGGUAGCACGGGAUAGGGUACAAGAUAUCUCUCAAGGUUGUCUUUUGCGGUCUGAAUUUGCCCAAUUGUAGCCGGCUUGGGUUAAGAACUUAAUAUAAGAGUCGUUGUUAUUUGGUAAGGGCCAAGGGGAGAGAAGUAUGCUAUCUUGGAUGAGAAAGGCUCAAUUUUGAUGCUUUGAGGGUUUUGACAAGGCAGAUGCAAAACCUAGUAAAAACUGUACUGCAUACAUAGUUAACAUUGCAAGUCUCAAAUGUUACCUUGAAAACCUUUUAGAGUAAACAGGAUUUGUUUUACUUCUAAUAUUUCUAUUAGUUUUUGACAUUAUCACAGUCCUAUUUUUUGGGUUGGAUUUUCCUGUUGAUUCCUAUUUAUAUACUUUCAGCACAUUUUUUGUUUUCUUCUGGGUGCAUUUGUGUUGUCCCUGCUUUUUGUUGGACAUUUUUCAUCUAUGGUUGAUCUUUGUUGUGCCUUACAAAAGUACUAGUAUACCAACUAUAGGUGUAAUUUAUUCGGUAGUGAAGGCAUAUAAGAUAAAUAUUGCGAAGGAAUAGGAUGGUACAGAGAAGGGAUAAUAGAAUCUGAUGCAUGUUUAUACCAAAAGAUUGUAAUGCUUGAGACUCCCAAUUAUAUCUAUUCCAAUGAGUUGCUAUUUCUUCUUGUGAAAAUGAUGAACCACCAAAAGAAAAGUUGUAGAAUGGGCAGUUACCUAUGUUCCACUGAACAGAAUAAUUACAAAAUGAGUAUUUAUUAUUGUUGUUUUUAUUUUUCCCCCAGAGGCGCAUGUCUUUAUGGAUUCUAACCUGCAGUAGCCAUUUCAAGGGUUUAGUUGUGUGCUUAUGUUUUUCAUUUUUCCCUUUGUUUCAAGGUGAAAAGGCUUCAUGAGCCCCUAGAUAGGCGAAUCUCUGCUCUGGAGAGUUUGAAACAAGGUGAAACUUCACAACAUGUGGAAGCAACAGAAUAGGUCCUUCGUGACAAAAAAAAAAAAAAAAAAAGAUUUUUCCUAAAUAUGCAAUUGGUUCCUCGGUAAUGUUUUUUUGUUUCUGCCCU
This 1647-nucleotide long non-coding RNA is filed under the name Gossypium raimondii (Peruvian cotton). RNAcentral describes it as "long non-coding RNA (GRAI_LNC002900)". Lineage: Eukaryota; Viridiplantae; Streptophyta; Magnoliopsida; Malvales; Malvaceae. The record is from RNAcentral.